AAUCCAUAGGUUAAUGAGGCGAACCGGGGGAACUGAAACAUCUAAGUACCCCGAGGAAAAGAAAUCAACCGAGAUUCCCCCAGUAGCGGCGAGCGAACGGGGAGGAGCCCAGAGCCUGAAUCAGCAUGUGUGUUAGUGGAAGCGUCUGGAAAGGCGCGCGAUACAGGGUGACAGCCCCGUACACAAAAGCGCAUGUGCUGUGAGCUCGAUGAGUAGGGCGGGACACGUGGUAUCCUGUCUGAAUAUGGGGGGACCAUCCUCCAAGGCUAAAUACUCCUGACUGACCGAUAGUGAACCAGUACCGUGAGGGAAAGGCGAAAAGAACCCCGGCGAGGGGAGUGAAAAAGAACCUGAAACCGUGUACGUACAAGCAGUGGGAGCCCCACCACUAAGCCAGUGGUGAACUCCACAUCCGCAUCCUUUGCUGAGGAUACGGUUAACGGAGCGAAAGCGACGUUCAACCGCAAAACAAGCAGAGGGGGCUUAGUGGUGGGGUGACUGCGUACCUUUUGUAUAAUGGGUCAGCGACUUAUAUUCUGUAGCAAGGUUAACCGAAUAGGGGAGCCGGAGGGAAACCGAGUCUUAAUUGGGCGUUAAGUUGCAGGGUAUAGACCCGAAACCCGGUGAUCUAGCCAUGGGCAGGUUGAAGGUUGGGUAACACUAACUGGAGGACCGAACCGACUAAUGUUGAAAAAUUAGCGGAUGACCUGUGGCUGGGGGUGAAAGGCCAAUCAAACCGGGAGAUAGCUGGUUCUCCCCGAAAGCUAUUUAGGUAGCGCCUCGUGAAUUCAUCUCCGGGGGUAGAGCACUGUUUCGGCUAGGGGGCCAUCCCGGCUUACCAACCCGAUGCAAACUGCGAAUACCGGAGAAUGUUAUCACGGGAGACACACGGCGGGUGCUAACGUCCGUCGUGAAGAGGGAAACAACCCAGACCGCCAGCUAAGGUCCCAAAGUCAUGGUUAAGUGGGAAACGAUGUGGGAAGGCCCAGACAGCCAGGAUGUUGGCUUAGAAGCAGCCAUCAUUUAAAGAAAGCGUAAUAGCUCACUGGUCGAGUCGGCCUGCGCGGAAGAUGUAACGGGGCUAAACCAUGCACCGAAGCUGCGGCAGCGAACGUAUCACCCAAGACAACUUUACGGAGUUGACGAUUGACGGAGCGAAGCGACGUCAAAGCGUUCAUUAAAGUCGAGUUGGCUUAGGGAUACGUUCGUUGGGUAGGGGAGCGUUCUGUAAGCCUGUGAAGGUGUGUCGUGAGGCAUGCUGGAGGUAUCAGAAGUGCGAAUGCUGACAUAAGUAACGAUAAAGCGGGUGAAAAGCCCGCUCGCCGGAAGACCAAGGGUUCCUGUCCAACGUUAAUCGGGGCAGGGUGAGUCGACCCCUAAGGCGAGGCCGAAAGGCGUAGUCGAUGGGAAACGGGUUAAUAUUCCCGUACUUGGUGUUACUGCGAAGGGGGGACGGAGAAGGCUAUGUUGGCCGGGCGACGGUUGUCCCGGUUUAAGCGUGUAGGUGUGUGUUCCAGGUAAAUCCGGUUCACUUUAACACUGAGGCGUGACGACGAGGCACUACGGUGCUGAAGCAACAAAUGCCCUGCUUCCAGGAAAAGCCUCUAAGCAUCAGGUAACACGAAAUCGUACCCCAAACCGACACAGGUGGUCAGGUAGAGAAUACCAAGGCGCUUGAGAGAACUCGGGUGAAGGAACUAGGCAAAAUGGUGCCGUAACUUCGGGAGAAGGCACGCUGACAC
RNAcentral lists this ribosomal RNA (1742 nucleotides) under Salmonella enterica subsp. enterica serovar Typhimurium. Its description in RNAcentral is "partial 23S ribosomal RNA". It matches the Rfam family "Bacterial large subunit ribosomal RNA", at positions 161 to 1757 of the family's 2925-position model. The record is from RNAcentral. Lineage: Bacteria; Pseudomonadati; Pseudomonadota; Gammaproteobacteria; Enterobacterales; Enterobacteriaceae.